UAGUUUAUCUUAUUAUUGAGUGUGGUAUUUCGUUCCGAUAUUUAUUGGACGAAUAUUUCGGACAUUAUACUGAUCAUUGUACAGGUAAAAGUAUUCACACACAGUCACUGACCGCCAUACCGGUAAGACGUGUGUCAUUUUUGAGGCCAUAACCAGACAUAGAGUCGCAAAGACCACCAAUUAACGGGAUGUCUGGUUUUUACGUUGGGACAUGGACCCAAACAUACACGGCCUGAGGUGGAUGGAUUUGUGGGGAAAACAACUGACGGUGGAUUAUGUCAGUUCCACAUAGAGGAGCACUCGCGGGACCUACUAUACGAUAGGUGCAGCAGUGGCACAUAGAGGUCAGAGUGGCUUGCUGGAAACAGGCUGCGGCUCCAGCGGUGCA
Pecten maximus is the source of this 388-nucleotide long non-coding RNA. RefSeq lists it as uncharacterized. The record is from RefSeq and is a predicted model, not a curated record. NCBI's taxonomy places the organism in Eukaryota, Metazoa, Mollusca, Bivalvia, Pectinida, Pectinidae. The transcript is spliced from 2 exons.